AAACCUGGGAUAGUCUUUUAGGGAUGAAAAAUCUAAACGAGGAAAUAAAACAAUAGCCUUUGUUCUUCUUGACUGCUGCCUCUUUAAGAGAAUCUACCAGGAAAUGGGAGAUCAGGUUGCAAACUGAACACAGGGAAAUCUGGAGAGAGCCCGGGAGGGACAUUGGAGACAAAAGCAUUGGAGGCUGAGCCAGAGCCAGAAUGAUGGAUUAGGAAGAUAAAGUGAGCUAGAAGAUAAAACCAGAAAGAUUUUUUUUUUCUAGGAAAAUAGACGUAUUGGAAAGGAAAGACGUAGGUUGAAUUCAGAGUACUGGGGGAGGGGACCACUCUAACGAAAACUGCAUUCAGGAGAAGGAAAGAGUAGACAGUUAUCAAAGGCAGUUUAGUUCCCGUUCCUUUUCCUCAACCUCCUCCCCCUUUUGAAAUAAAUUGCAUUCAGUGAGUGCUGUCCUUUUAAAGAAACAGCUACUUCCUAACAACUGAAAUUUGCUGCUUGACUACAAAGUUAGCAGGAUGUGUAAAUGUAGAUAAGAAAGAAGGAAAAAGGAAACGGCAUUCUAGAGGAACUGAUGUUUAGAGGGAGGAAAAUGAAGUAUAUACCAUUAGGACUUUAUAAAAGAGCUUAAGGUUUCCCUGUUCAUAGAAUUCAGGUUGGAGAUUGGGUUUUGAUCCAAUCCUGGAAGGAUGAGAAGUUGACUCCAUGCUGGACGGACCCUACCAGUGUUUGCCAAUUUCUGCGUUCUCAAUGCUCACACUGAAAACUGAACAAUUUACUGGAUAAGAGCUGACUCCAACAUAGCCCUAGGCUCAUGCUUCAGGAAGGAAAAUAACUCUCUAGUGUUAUCAGGAGACUGAUGAUGAAUAAUAUUGCCCACAUCUUGACAGAGACAGGAUGGAUGGAUCAGAAUGAGAUGAAGGAAAAACUUGAGCGUCUGUGGCAGAAACGAACCGGCAUGAGAAGAUCCAGUCUUUCGAUAUAGUUUUGUUUUCGCUAUCUGGUGCUGCCCUCUGCUGAUUGUAAUAGAGGACAAAGUGAAAAGAUUUCACUCUGCCAUUUGAAUUCUACGGAGACGUUAAGGUGAUCUUGUUUGUCUUUCCUUCUUGAUAACGUCAGGACGGUGAUGUCUUGACUCACAGAUGACCUGGAUUUAAGUGUGACAAAAUCGUCAGUCUCGUUCUCCCCUCCAGAACCAUCAGUCCAGCGUCCCUGGCCCCUGAUGCAAUGGGCGCCUUUGGGUUUUUUCCUAAGACAAAGUUCCGGUAAAUACAAGGAACAGGGAAAUUGUGGUUUGCUGCCUUUUACCUGCAUUCAUUCUGGAGCUCAAAUUGCACAGCCCCCACCAAGCCCACCAAACCAACCACUAUUUUCUUCUCUUUGUCGAAGUUCCGAAUCCUUCCCACCUUUGCGCCCAGGUUAGAUGCUCCACUUCUUUUCCCUCUCAGAUCCACCAUUUGUGCUACUGAGCUUCUGCAUAAACUCAAUGACCUCAGGAAACCUUAUUUUUCUUAGCAGAAUGGUUUUCUGCCAGCAGCAGUGUGAGCGGACCCCUCAGAAAUCUGGAAUUGUGACCAGCCCAUGUUAGAAUUUGUCAACGUUUCCUUAGAUGGCCAUAAGCAUGGAGUUUUCUUCCUUUCUAAAAGUAAAACUGCAGAUUCUACAAGCUCACCCAGUGGUGCAAAGUGAGUCCUGGAUUCCUUUCCUUGUACUGACAGUUUCUUAAAGAGCUCU
Molecule: long non-coding RNA, 1728 nt
Organism: Sarcophilus harrisii (Tasmanian devil)
Lineage: Eukaryota; Metazoa; Chordata; Mammalia; Dasyuromorphia; Dasyuridae
Exons: 5
Source: RefSeq, a predicted model, not a curated record